AUGAUGAGUCACACACUUGAGCAUUUACAAAGAAAAAAAACAUCAUAUUAACGAAGAGAUGCGUUCCAAGGAAACGAAGUUACCAUUGACUUUGGUGGUAGGUUUGAAGUGAACUUGGCACGGACAACACCGCUGUUACCAUGAGGCCUAGCGACUUUGCCCCAGAUGCAACGGUAGUGAGAACCGUUCUUCUUUGUCUUCGCCUUGUAGAUAUAAGCCAUGCGCUUUCCCUUGUACCAAGUAACCUCCUCUGUUGUGUUCACUCCUUCGAUCUGGAUUAGAGAUGUGUUUGGGUACUGGUUCGACUUCGACCUGAAAAUGUACAUUAACAGUCACUAAUCAAGCUUAAGAUUAAGAUUGCUACUUAAGAUUUUCAAACACUUCUUGGUACGCAAGUAACUGCACCAGAAGCUCAAAAUGUAAUCAUUUCAAGAACCAUAAAUCAAGAACAAAAGACGCAAUCUUUCACACGGACAACUAGACUAAAACACAGAUAAAGACAGGAUCAAAGUUGUGCAAAAGUACCUCUUGUAACCGAGGACUGUUCCUCGAACAUACAAUCUGCAAAAACAGCAAACAAAUAAAGGUUUUGUCAGAUGAAUAAACCAUUAGUUACUCGAAUCGGAGAUUCAGAGAGAGAAGUCUGUUUAUGUUAGAACCGUUAGUUACCUAACUCUUUCUCCUUGGCGUCCUUUCAUUUUCGAUUCUGAUACUGUGUCUUCUUCUUCGUCUUUGACUCUUUUAUGCCGGCGAGUGAAGUACAGAGAAGAGCCCUAGCUAGCUUUCGAUAUUAGGUUAAACAAUAUAUAUGUGGAUUCAUAAAUAAGCCCAUUAUGAAUCCCUAUUAGGCCUACAUUUGGCCCAGGCACUUACAGUUAACAAGUAAAUGAACCGGAGAAAACCAUAUAAGACAGAGUUUUCAACAAUUUAAAGUCAUCAUUUCAAAUUUUAAACACGAGAAUUCAAGAUCAAUCUAAAUUUUGAAUUGAUUUACACUAAAUCCGUUUUUAUCACUUUUCUUUUUUUUUAAAAAAAAUCAGUGAUAAUGAACUUGUUAUUUUAAAAUGUAUUUUUUAUCAAAAGUAUUUAAGGAAUUAGAUUCUUAAGUUUAAGAGAUGUUCAUUGUGGUUUAUGGUGUUUAAUAUAUAACUAGAUUUUGACCCGCGCUUUCAAAGCGCGGGUUUAUUUUUGUUUUUUUUUCAAUUGACAAAUAUUUAGUAAAUGUCACAUUUUCAUAUAUUUGUGUUUUAUUUUAUAAAAGACUUAAAAAUUUUAUUUUUAUUUAUCGUAUUUCAUUUUAAAUGACUAUUUAUGUUAAAAAAAUUAAACUUUAUUUUUUUAAUGAAUUAAGUUGGUAUAACUCUGAUAAAUUAAUUUUAUUAUGGGGUUAAUAUUUUAAUUAAAAAAUUAUAUACUUUUAAUAAAGAUUUAUACUUUUCAAUAAAAAAAUUCAAUUAUUUUUAUGAAUGCUUAAAUUAUAUUAAGAAAAGAAAAAAAUAAUAAUUAAGAAUAGUUGAAAAAAAAUUAUUUGAACUUGGACUCAAUGGUCCAAAGGAAAAAAAAAGGUGAGAAUUGAAUCUGAUUUUUUAAUAGGCCCAAAUGGCACAAAGGAGAUUUGAUUUGGGCUGGAUCCAAAAAUAAUGACCCAAUAUAGAUUUGUUAUUAAUAUUACUUAAUUGCCCUUAAUGAAACAUGCAAUGUUAGUGAAGGAAACAUGCCCCUAAGGUAAUUAUGACAAUAGGAUCCUGAUUUAAUAGUAUAGAUUAUAAUAAUUUCUCUAAUUGACUUAAGAUGGUUUAAAGUAGGUUCUAAAAAUCAGUCUAGGCGGCGCCUAGGUUGCAACUCGAUCUUAGCCAAAACGAUUUUUCUAUAAUCCUAUUCAUACGAUUCAAAUUGGUUUAAAAUGCUAUAAAUAGAUUAAAAUCUGUUUAAAUCAGAUCUAAACUAGUCUAAAUAUGUUAAAAGUAAUCGUGUUAGUAUAAAUCCACAAAUUUGUCUGAUUUAUUUUGUUUUGGAUAUAUCACAAUAUUUUAUAAUUAAACUUAAAAAUAAAAAUAUUUCAUACAAACAUAAAAAAUAUAAAAAAUAAAUUAAUAAUUUGUUUACAACUAGGCUUUGUCUAGGCCCCGAAUUAUCUGCCAAGUCGAUAGUUUUCUAUAAAGCACCUAGUUGCCGUCUAGCGAUUUCUUGAACAACUUUAAACUCAGUUAAAUCGCUUCAAUUCUUUUCACAUACUAGAAGUCUAGAAUACAUAUUCAAUGUUGUUUUGUUAAUUAAACUAAAAUUGUCAAACCAAACCGGAAACGGUUAUAAGUCUUUUUGAUUUGUAAGCGAAGUACAAGUAACAAUAAAAUGGAUUACAGUUGUUUCGCUAUAAGGAGAUUACAACAUAAACAAUGUCGUAGACGACAAAGAUAUAGCACUUUUCAGACAUCAGCAAAAACAUGGAAGUUCUUGGAGUCAACAGCAAUGAGUCUAACAGCAGCAAUUGCAGCAGCAAGAGACAUUAACCCAAAGAAGCAAACGUUAAGCCAAUGCCAUAGCUUUUGAACAGGACUAAGCUUAUCGUUCAUAGCUACGACAUACAUGUGAUUUGCUAAUAUGAACGUGAGAGGGAAAGUGCUUAUAGCUCCCGUGAGGCUCAUGAAAUCUCCAAGAAACGGUAAAAGCGCUGAGAGAAGAGUGCUCACCGCGAUGUAGCUUCCUCGCGCUACUGUUCUAAACAACAGAUUCUUCAGUGCUAAUGGACUUCCUUUGAUUCCAUACUUUGUGUCCAUAAACUCAUACGUCGGACUAGGUAAUGCAUGUUUUAUCCGGCUGUACCUAGAAGAACUAGCUUGCCAGAGAAGAACAAACCUGGUUAACGUCAGGAACCAUUCCUCCUGUAUAUCUCAAUGUGUACUUCUCUUUCACGUAGUAAUCAAUCAGCUGAUUUUAACAGUGAAUAAGAAAAACAUUCAAAGAUUUGUAUAGAAUAGUGAUUAGAUUAAAGCAGAACAAAAGCAAGAACCUUGCUGUAUUCAGAAUUGUCAAACGUGGCUCUCAAGUUUCCUGGUGAGAACAUUUUCCCUUCAUUAAUCUCUGUGGUCUCCUUAACAUGCUGCCAUUUACCUGAGAAACAUUUUGACCUUAAGUCUAAAACUACCAGAGAGUGAAUCUUGGUUGGACCAAAAGCAGAGGAGUACCUUCAUCAAGAAGCAAGAACUCAUGAGUUCCUGGAAACCCUUUAACAGCCAAAACAUAAGUGGUUCUUGGACCAUAGAUUCCCAUGGCUGCAGCCACUUGAUCUCCUCCCGUGACUCCGGUUAACUUAUCACCAGGCCAAACCCCAAAUAUGGUUCCCACAGUGAAGUUUGUAUCCACAAUGCUGGAUCCAUCCAAUGGAUCAAAUGCCACACUAAACCCACCUUCCACUGGACCUCCCAUGUCUUGAAGCUCAGGUACUUCUUCAGAGCAAGCGUAUUUACACACAUGCGAGUAUUGCAAAGCCUAGAAAAACAAAAACAAAAAAAAAAAUAUUAAUCAAACCCUAAUGAUCCUUGUGACAUAAGUUACUCAAAAUAUAAAGAAAACAACCUCAAAGAGAAGCUUAUCGGCGAGCAUAUCGACAGCGAGUUGUUCAUCGCCAAAGGAAUUAACACAAGCAGUCCCACCACAAGAAGCUGUCCUAACUUUGAAAGCUAUUGUCCUCAACGCUUCUCCCAUACACAUCAGCAAAGUUCUCAAUCCCUUGUCAGGUGUUGCUUCUCUCAAAAACUCUUCCUAUACACUCAAACUCAAUAAUUGAAUCAUCAACAAGAUUUUUAGAUAAAAGAAUUGAGUAAUGUUAUUGCUCUGGAGACUUACCAAGCUUUGACCAAUCUCACAUUUGGUCACAGUCGAACCACCAUUGUUCUUAGCCUUGGUGGCUUUCAAUUGCGAUCUUGGUGCUACUCUUAGUGACUCUCCGAAGAUUGAGCUAGACUUCAGACGCUGCUGAGAUCAAAUGUUAAGUACCCUUUUACAGUUAAGAACACAUUCGUUAUAAUGAAUCACACUCACUAGAACUAGAAGUGAACAUAUCACACGUGCGCGCUUUGCAUGUGUGCGUGUAGAGGAUACUACUAACCUUGAAGCUGGAUGAUGCGGAGAAGGAAUAAGGAGGAGAAACCAAUGUAGAUGAUCGUUGAGAAGAAACGCUUGGGAGGAUGAUCCCACGUGAGUAGCAUGUGACGCUGGUCUCCAUGGCUUAAUUAUGUUUCUGAAGUUUGAGGUUGAUAAAAGAAGAAGAGCUCUCUACAGAGGAUAAAGGUGGAAACAAAAGAUCAAACUCAAGUGGUGUGGUGUAUGUAGGAGAAGAUAAAGUGAUCAUUUAUUGUGUGGUUAUGGUCUUUUUAACGUAUUUUUCCAUUUUGAGAUGAUAUCAUCAACAUCAGUUACUCAAAAAUAAAUGUUUUUUUUUAUUGAAAAUUUUCAAAAAUAGUAUCAGAGCCAGGUUUCGAUCCUGGGACCUGUGGGUUAUGGGCCCACCACGCUUCCGCUGCGCCACUCUGAUUUAUUGAUAAUAACUACAAGAUUAAAAUAUAUAACAGACAACUAGAAGAUAUUGUAGAAAUGUUACUUUACAAUUCGUGUUAUACGACUUUAUAUAGUUUUCUAACAAGACCCAUUUAAGAUUAUAACAGGCCUGUUACUCUAGCUUUAAUGGCCCAAAAUAGAUUUCUUGUUCUCCAAGGAUUAGACGCACACCAAAAGAAUCUAAACCUAUUUUUUUUCCUCCUCGUCUCUUUCUUUCACAUGUUCUCAGAGAUAAGCUGAGAUGCAAUUCGUGAAGGCAAGAACGCAAGUGUUCUGAAACGGUUGUUUUCCAAAAGGAAUGUAUCAGAUUUUUUUAUAGAUAAUAACACAAAAAGACUUCAGGAGACAUCAAUGGAAACAUUAAUGGAUAGAUUACACACUUCACACACAAAGAUACCAAGAGAAAACAAACUGAAUCAGUCUGGCAUUAACUUCAAUUUAGACUAGAGAGAGGAGAUAAUUCUUGAGUUUAAGAUUCAGGAACCGCCGUUGCUGGUGUACCAGCGGCUACUGCGGCGGCUGCAGAGCGUUUGAUGGAAGCGGAUUUGAUCAAGUGGUUGUAGCUACCCUUUUCCUUGAAAGGCUGAGCGAAAUGGUGCUUGCAGUACAAGAUUCCUUCAAGAGCUGCGUAGUUUGAAGGCGAAAUAGGGCAGCCUCCAUGUGAGCACUUGAAGCAGGACUUGUGAUAUGUCUGGCUCUCCACUGUUACCUGCAGUUUUCCCAGAAAGAUGUUUGUCACCAACAAAAGAGCUUUCAAAACCUUUUCUCUUGUGUGCCAGAGAACAUGCCAGCAACUCGGCUAGGAGUCCUUGUCUGAGAACAAACGAAGAAGUUCAAUCUGAGUAAACGUAUCUAAAGAGAUUCUGUAGAAACCAGAUAAAAGAAACAUUUAUACCAGCUCAGGACUUGAUUUCUCAGCUGGUUUUGCAGCUGUAAGGAGAGAAAAGUUCCAAGAUUAAUAGGAAAGCCACAACAAGAAAGGCAAAGCUUAAAGUCUAGAUGGAAAGAAGCAGCAGGAACAAGGAGAAGAGGAAGUACAUACGUGACUGAAAGUUUUUGGUGAAGCUACCAGACUCCUUGAAGAGCUGCUCAUAAUGAGGCUUACAGUACAACACUCCUUCCAUCGAUGAAUAUCUACUCAGCUGUACAAAAAAUUCAUACUUUAUCAGGAUCACUAGAGAAACUUUGAAAUCAAACAGUUAAGAUACCUGAAGCCUGGAUUUGCAGUGGGUGCAUUUGAAGCAAGACUUGUGAUAGCUAACUCCAUCAGCAGAGAGAAGCUCCACAGGGUAGACAGUCUUCUCGCAAGCCUUGCACUUCUGCUGAGUUCCUGUGAAAGAAGACAUCCUUCCUUCAACCCCCUUUUGCCUUUGACCUUUCUUCUCCUUUAAAAUAUCAAAGUCAAGAAACAAUGAGGUUAAGUGAUCAGAUCAAAAAGCACUCAGAAUGAGAUUGUAAGAACAUCGAGAGAAAUAGAUGGAUCUAUUACCUCUCUCUGAGCUGAUAACGUCCAAGAUCUGACGAAAACUGCAAAAAAAAACAUACAGAAAAAGAAGAAGAAGAAGGCUUAACAAACUAGAGGAAGACUUGGGAGAUGCAUAAUGCCAAAAACUCAAGUUAGUAGAGAAGCUAUUACGUACUCUUGCGUCUAUUCACGAAAAUGGAGGAUCUGUGUGAGGAUCAAAGCGAUGAAGAUGAAGAAGAAGAAUAAAAAUGGGAGAUAUGGUUAAAUCUUCCUUUUAUGUUUUUCUUUUUUAGCUGGAGGAGACAAACAGUGGGGUUCCACUUUGGCUUGUCUGUUUUUUCUUUUGUAAUAACAGCAAAAUAUUUGAAGAUUAGAGAAUUCUCUGAAGAUUAUAUUUACAAUAAUAAAACAACAACGAAUGGAUGUUCUUAUCUUAUCUUACUGUAUCAUUUUACCAAAUAAAGGGAUAAUUGAUCUGUUUAAAUUUUUUAUUGAGAAAAAUACUAGUAUAGCACCAAACUAAGUUUUUGUUCCCAAAGUAGCACUCAAUGCUCAAAAUCAUAAAAAUAAGUUUUAUUAAAGAGGUAAAUAUACAUUUAUAUCCCUUGGGUUAAUUAAUCCAAACCUUAGGGUUUAGAGUUAAGGGGUAGGUUUUGGAAUUAGGGUUUAAAAUUUUAUAAAAAAUAAAUACUAAAACAAAAAUAAAAAUUUUUAAAACAGUUUCAAAAAGUAUUUUUAAAUUAUAAAAAGAAAAUUUGAAAAAAAAAUAAAAAAAGUUUCAAAAAAAAAUUAUAAAAAUUUCGAAUCUGAAAACAUAUAAUCUGAAAUUAUAAAAUAAAUUUUUUAUUUUUUUAUUUUAGUUAUUUUUAUUUAUUUUUAUUUAUUUAUUUAAUUUCAAACCAAGGGUAUCAGGGAUAUUUUACCCUUUAAUGAAUGUUAUUUUUGUGACUUUUUCUUUCUAGUGCUAUUUUUGACACAUAAACUUCAAAAGUUGCUAUUAUUGACAAUUGCUCUUUUUUAUUCUCCUCGAAUAUGCUAAAUAAAAAUAUCUAACAUAUCCAUUGCUGUCCACACCACCUAUUAUAGAUUCCUAAACAAAUAGAUAUGCGACGACAAGUAAAGCGUCUUUUGCAUAAUAAAUUGUUUUACUAUUGCAUGUCAUAAUCAGUAGAAUAAUAUAAUUAAAUAUCAUUAAAAGGUUUUGAUAUUCAUAGAAACUAUAUCACUGGAGUGCUAAGUGGAGAAAAUAAAUUGGCAACUCAUUUUUGUUUUGCAAUCCCAUCAAAUUAAUGUUUUAAUUCGUCUAGAGAUAAACAAAUCUGACAAAAAAAAAGUGAAAAAAGGAUUAAAACUAUUAGCUUCUGAGAAAUAUGAUAAUGGGAGCUUCCUUCUGAUGCUUGUGAAAUGAACUCCACGUCUUGAAUCUAGCCUCCUCCUGCAUCAGGAAAUCAAAUCAGGAUACGUGUUGACUCGGACAACACAUAAAACAAGAUCCUAGAAGAAUAAUACAUUACAUUACAGGGAUGAGUCUAAGACCUCACAACUACAAUAUCCAUCCUUUCAAUUGCUAAUACAAGUCAGGCCAAAACAGGCUAAUCUAAUUUGAGUUAAUAGACAAUAAUCAUUAAUAAUCCUUAACACUAAUGAGACUUAAAUUUUGGACAAAGCUACAAAGAUGGGUGCAUAUUAUUUACUCUUAUAUGUUGCUUGGGUACAUGAACACUCUGACUCUAGCUCCCUGAGAGUAACACAACAGAAAACAAAUGAUGAGUCACACACUUGAGCAUUUACAAAGAAAAAAAACAUCAUAUUAACGAAGAGAUGCGUUCCAAGGAAACGAAGUUACCAUUGACUUUGGUGGUAGGUUUGAAGUGAACUUGGCACGGACAACACCGCUGUUACCAUGAGGCCUAGCGACUUUGCCCCAGAUGCAACGGUAGUGAGAACCGUUCUUCUUUGUCUUCGCCUUGUAGAUAUAAGCCAUGCGCUUUCCCUUGUACCAAGUAACCUCCU
This 8035-nucleotide long non-coding RNA is filed under the name Brassica napus (rape). RNAcentral describes it as "long non-coding RNA (BNAP_LNC003350)". The record is from RNAcentral. Lineage: Eukaryota; Viridiplantae; Streptophyta; Magnoliopsida; Brassicales; Brassicaceae.